AUCCCUUUGUAGUUCAUCAGCAUGAUGAUUGGGUGCUCACGUACAUGUGUGAAAUGUGCCUCCCUUAAACUUUGUUAUGUGUUGGCUUACCAGUGUGAUG
This is a small nucleolar RNA of Sapajus apella (tufted capuchin), 100 nucleotides long. RefSeq annotates it as small nucleolar RNA U13. The transcript has a single exon. NCBI's taxonomy places the organism in Eukaryota, Metazoa, Chordata, Mammalia, Primates, Cebidae. The record is from RefSeq and is a predicted model, not a curated record.